This 10632-nucleotide long non-coding RNA is filed under the name Gallus gallus (chicken). Lineage: Eukaryota; Metazoa; Chordata; Aves; Galliformes; Phasianidae. The record is from RNAcentral.
CGGGUCCGGGCGCUGACAAUGAGAGGCGGCCCCGGCGCCGCUACGUCACCGCGAGGGGAGCGGGGCCCGGCGGGGCGGGGGGCGGGAGCGGCGCUGCCGGGCGGGGCGGGGGUCGGGGGCCCGGCGGUCCCGGUCCGUGGCGGACUUUGGCGGCCGCCUCAGCCGGGCGACCCGCUCCGGGCGCCGCCGCUUCCGCGGGCUGCGCCGUCGUUGGGAGAAGCGCGGAAGGAGUUUCGGCCAUUUUGGGGGAAAGAGGGCGCGGGGCGGCCGGAGGGAACCGCGAGCUGGGAGAGCGAAACGGGAGAGAGCGGCGGCCGCCGGGGCGAGCCGGGACGGGAACGGGGGCGGCGGGGAGCGGCUCGGGGCCGGAGCUCCGCGGGAGGAGGGAGCGAUGGGGGCGGCGGUGCGGUGGCCCUCGGCCCGUCCGGAGUUGCGGAGCUCCGCGGCCGUUCCGCCGCCGCCCGUCCCGAGGCGUGCGCAGCCCCCGCUGUCUGCCGCGCGCCUCUGCCUGCCGAACGACGAGGAGGAACCGGAGUGUGGCGGAACGUCCGUCCUCAAAGGCUGCCCCCCACCGUGCCGCCCCUGGGAGUUUGGGACGUGGCGCUGAACGAAGCGGUCGGUGAUUCAGCUGCGGCUGCUUCUGGUGGGGAUCACAGAGCGGUUGGAGUUGGAAGAGGCUCUCAGAAGUCCAACUCGCAGCAUUGGGCACAGACACCCACAGCUCCAUCGGUGCUCGGAGCCCCCCCGGCCUCACCUCGGGUGUCUGCAGGGAUGGGCACCACCGCCCCUACGAGCAGCCCAUUCCAGUGCCUCACCGCCCUUAUUGUUUUCCUUACAUCCAAUCUAGAGCUCCCCUCUGUUAGUUUGAAACCAUUUCCCCCUGUCCUAUCACCCUGCUAAAGAGUCUGUCCCCUUUCUUACAGCCCCUUCAGACUGACAGGCCGCUAUAGGUCUCCCCGCAGCCUUCCCUUCUCCAGCUGCACAGCCCAGCUCUCAGCCUGGAGGUGUUCCAUCCCUGGGAACAUUUUUGUGGCCCUCCUCUGGAUGCUCUCCAACAGCCCCACGUCCCUCCUGUACUGAGGACUCCCAUCCGGGCGCAGUGCUGCAGGGCUGCGCUCCAUCCUCACACCCCCUGGCUCAUACUGAUGGUGAGGGUUGCUGUGACCCGGGUGCAGACCUCGCACGUGGAUUUAUUGAACCUCAUAAGGCUGAUUCCAGACGUAAGGGGGGGGAACAAGCUGACUUGAGGGGAAAUAACGGGGAACUUUAUUUCCAACUGUGUCUCUGAACCAGCAUCCAGGUGGCGACUCCAAAGAGACAGGAAAACUAGGGAAUGACCAACAUCAGGCAUCUGCUGUGGGUGGUGUGGAAGUGUGGCUGCAGCUGAUGGUAUCAGGGCUGCAGCAGCAGAGCUGCAGCUGCUGGAGGAGGUAUUUUGGAGAACAAAUUUGGGAAAUGAAGAGAAAUAAGGAAAAGCUAGCUGACCUUUGGAGAAGGAGCUGUUUUGUGUUGUUUCUUGUUCAUGGGGAGUUAGUACAGUCAAUGGAAGCACAGGGCAAAGGGACAGAAAGGGGUAAGGGGAAGUGAGGAUGUAACAUAGUGAUGGAGGCAGACCCAGCUCUGGGCCGGACUGAGGGGUUGGCAACAAGGGCAGCCUGCCAAAAAUUGGAGAGACAGGAACAGUGGGAAGGGAGUACAGCUCUGAAGAGUAAAGGGGACAGAAGUGCAGCAAACUGCACAGGCUGGAAUAGGAAGAGGGGCAGAGGCACAGGGGAGGAGGAGAUAUGCCAGGGGUUGCUUGUGGGGAGGUAGGAAUGGCAGAGUGUUUAAGUCAGGAGGGAACAAGAGGGAAAAGGGAAUCUCUUUCUUACUCAGAGGACUUGCAGGGACAGCCUUGUUUUCUUAUGGUGCCAGGGGUGCAGAAUAUAAAUCAUGUGGGCAGAUGUGAUCAGAGACGAAGUAGGGGGAGGGGAGAUCAUAAACACCCAUAGAAUUAUAAAUAAUAUGGGGAAGCAGCAGGAACUGUCAGCAUGUCUGACAGCAGGGGACCGUAUGGGUGCAGCAGGCUGGAACAAACAGAAGUAGCUCGUGCUGGUUUUGCACAGCUUGAUCACAUGAGAAGUGCCUGGCCAUGGGAUGCCACAGACACCGGAGGCACGAGCAUGGAAAGGGAUUACAGAAGCUUACAGAAAACAGAUUUCUCACUGUCUGCUAAAAAUGUUUCUGAGUCGUCUUCCAGCCCACAAAGUCCAUGAAGUCACUUCUCUGCGCUCGCUCUGUUUCUGUGGUCAGUUUAAAUGAGGUACCUGAGUCGAUCUAACAGCUUGCUGAUGGUACAUGCAGUUCUGCUCCCGUCCUCCUGCAGCUAUUUGUGAGUCUGUGCUGCUUCUGUUGCACCACUUCUGGCAUUCAAUCUGUUCAUUAAACCGGCGGAAAAUUAAAGCAGAGUGAAUACUGUUCUGCCAGUUUAGUCAGUUGAGUCAGCCCACGGGUUUAUGAGCCAGCGGCAUCCGUCAAAUCGACACUGCUCGGCUUUGUUGAGCCUCAUGAUGUUCACCUGGGCCCACUGCUCGGCCUGUCCGGGUCCCUCUGGCUGGCAUCCUUUCCUUCUGUUCUAUCAACUGCACCGCUCAGCUCGGUGCCAUCAGCAAAGUGCUGCGGGUGCACUCAAUCCAUCACUGAUGCCAUUGCUAAAGAUGCUGAAGAGCGCCGGUCCUGAGAUGGACCCCUGGGGGCCACCACUCCUCACUGACCUCCAUCCACACAUUGAGCCAUUGAGCACCACUCUCAAUCUUGUUGGUGCAAUCUUGUUUUCCUAUGCAAAGAAGAAGAAUUUCUUCUAAUGGCAGCUGUGAUUCUUAUGCUAUUACCUGAUUGCAGGAAUUCGGGCUUUAAGCAUUAACAUCAGAGUCAUGAUAAGAUCCUGAUAUUUACUGCACUGGCUUCUAAAAGCCAAUGCCAUGGCUGGAAUGCUUUCUAUCAAUUCUGAAAGGCGGUGGUGACUGGGGAGAGUUCCCGGUAGUUGAUAAAAGCAGAAUUCUCCAGCUGACAGAAUAUCCUGCACUGAGAUCUAAUUGCAGGCUGCUGCAGGGAACGUCUACGCUUUGACUUCCAUUUAACCAAUUCUUCUGUUUUGAAUAAAUCCUACUUAGUCAUUGAAAUAAGUAUCUGCUGGGACAACCGCAAUGCAUUCUUCUGUUACAAGUUAAAAUGUGUUGUACUUUACCCAUGCUCAGUAUUACAAGAGGUGCAUCUGAGAGGCUCCUAGAAACCACUCAGCUCUUGUGUCUUCUGUGAGAUGAGUUUGUAUGCUCUACUGUGAUCCGCAGACCAUGAAUGACACAGUAAAUAUGGACAUUGAUCUCUGCCAUGACAGCCUCCUCCUUCCAGCUGCGGGGUGUUCUUUAUCUUACCUUUACGAUGCUUGUCAGCGUUGUCCUCUGCCAGUUCCAUGUUACUGUUUGUUUUCAAAUAUGGAUUCCUGAAGCACUACAUCACAUAUUUACUGGCAUUAAGAAUGGUGUAAUAUUGGACCGUGUGCCUUUUUGAAUUAGUCUACAGAACAGGCAAAAAAAAUAGCCUAUUGCAGGCUUUUUGAAUUAGCUUAUAAUUAGCCUAUGAUAGGCUGGAGCAAUGGGCCAAAGGCGUAUGAGGAUUACCAAGGCUAAGUGUCAGGUCCUACACUUGAGUCACACCAAGCCCAUGCCAUGCUGCAGGAUGGAAGAGUGGCUGGAAAUUGCCCAACAGAAAAGGGGCUAGGGGAGACCUCAUCGCUCCCUACAGAAGAAGGCUGUGGUGAGGGGGCAUCAGCCUCUGCUCCGGGGUGACAGUGAUGAGAAGCGAUGGCCUCAAGUUGUGCCAGGGGAGGUUUAUCUUAGCUAUCAGGAGGAAUUUUUCCAUGGAAAAGGUUGUGAAGAAUUGGAAGAGACUGCCCAGAGGAGUAGUUGAGCCACCGUCCCUGGAGACAUUUAAAAGAUCUGCGGACGCGGUGCUUGGGGACAUUGGGGCUUAGUGGUAGACUUGGCAGUGCCAGGGUAAUGAUUGGACUCAAUGAUCUUUGAGGUUUUGUCCAACAUAAAUGAUUCUAUGAUUCUGUAAUUGAAUCAAAGAAAGGGCUCAGUUCAUUUGCUCUCCAAUCUAACAGUGUCUUAUGAAAGCCUCAAGAACAGUGACGGAGCAUCUUUCUGUGCUAUGAUAUUUUGCCAUUCUGUUCAACAUCAGAAGUCUUAGUUUAAGAGUAGACAGGACAGGAGAAGUACAAAAGCAUAAUUGAUCCAGAUGAGGCCAUGUGAGCAGACCAGCUGGCCUCUCCAAGGCCCCUUCAGGACCGUUAUCCAUGGUUUUAUGAUUUAUGGAAGUCCUCACAUUGGGCAGAUGGACCAGCAGGAGAAAUGUUGUGGAGACACCUGGGGAUUUGCCUUGGCUUUGGGUACUGCUGCCAACCCAGCUCUGUGCGGGAAAUGCCAACCCACUAAAUCAAUGACCAAAAUACUCUUCUGGGAAGCUUGCUUUUAAACAAUGUCACUCCCCAGAUAUUGAAGGACAAAGUUCACCACUCCACCUGUUGAAGUAAUUUAACAGUUUUUAUAUUGGGCAUAAAGCCAUCUGCUAUUUAUUAGAUAACAGAUUUGACCCAGAGUCUUGCUCUCCAGCUGUGCUCUCAGUACUGGACUGAAUUGUUCAGGUCUGCUUCUCCUUUCCUCCUUCCCCACUUGAUUUGUAUAUGUACAAAGAAGACAAAAUGUUCCAGCUAGGAACUACAACAGGGCUGGGGAAAGCUGAGCAGCUCAUCAUUAUCCAGCAGUUAUAAGAAGGAUGGCGGACAGGAGGUUUCCAGGUGUCCUUCUGAAUGUUGGAAAGAAACAAAGGAAUCUGGAAAGGACACCUUGACAAAGGGCAGGCUCAGAACAUUGGUAUGGAAGCAGAGAAAAUACCUCUCAGUACACAGGGAUUAGAUGAACAGCUUCUUGCAGGAUUCCUUAGGACAUGGGUUUCCAAAUAUCCCAUUUUCCAUCUGCUCACUGGUCUUUCCUCCAUUUAAGCUAUCGUCUCCAGGACUGCUAGCAAUAAGGAAGGAAUCUCAAUCCACUGACCACUUAGAACCAGAUAAUAGAGGUAAAGCAGGGUAAUAUUUGUUAGAGCUCCUCACAUAGCAGACAUAGACUAUGUCAUCCCCUCAUUGUCAUUGUGAGCAAUUUCUUCCUUAUUCUUCAAUCCACCCCAACAACCUUAAUAUCAAAGAAGAUUUUUCUUUAUAUUUCACUUAAUUCUUCCAAAUUCCCUGAUUUCUUGUCUUACCUCUAUGAGUAUGGAGAACAGAUUAUUUACUACUUCAGGGCAGUUGUCCUUUCCCUAUCUGAAGUCUUCAGUUUUCACUCACUCACAUCUUUCAUCCCCAAAGGCUCACAGUAUCCACACAUCAUUUGAAGACUCAAUUCUCACAAAGGCUGAAAAAAAUAGCAUUUUCCUGGCUCAAUCUUAAGCAUGUAGUUGCUUCCUAAGGGAGCCUGAGUGCCGAGGAAUUAGACACAGCAAUGUUCGGCUGUCUCUGCUGAAUUUACCUUCAUUUCCUAUAGUUAUGGAAUAAACAUUAACAGAACCAAGGAUUGGUCCUUCUGGCUCCAUUCUGAGGUCCCCAUCAUUCCACACUGGCACUGAACAUAUUUUGUUUCAUUUUGGGCAUGCAAAACAAACAAACAAACAGACAAACAAAAAAACCACCAACCCAAAACAACACAAAUAUAAGAGCAAGGUACUUUUCAAUAAUGUUCAUGCUAUUUAUUUUGCAGUAUUUCUGCACUGGCUUAUUGCACACAUGAUCAAAUGUGUAAAAAUGAUUUUCAGCAGUGUAUCUUCUUUCUGCAGUUUACCAGAAGUGCAGCUUCAAAUUCACGUUUGUGAAGGGCCAAUGGAACUCACGUGCUUGCUGUGUCUUCAUGCCCUGCUGCCUGCACUCAGGCUGCCACCUGUUUCCUGCCAAAGCUGCUGGCUUUAUCAAUUUCAGAUGGAUUGCUACGUGCCACAGGAAAUACAGGCGCUAGAUCCCAUUCUCCAGAAACCUUCUCAGCCUACAUGAACUGCUAGUAAUAUACAGCAGAAGUACUGAAGUCCUCCAAAUAUGCAAACAACAACAGAUGCAGAGAGUACAAUAACACCGUUUGACAGAGCAAAUUCUCAGCUACAGAACACCAUUUUUCAGUGCCUCCACCACCAUUAGCUGUGCAUUUUCAUCAGUGAUGAACAAGAGCUGCAUGCCGUGCUCUAAAAAUCUGCACAGCUGUCCAGAAGGCAACUCAACUGUUGCAUUACUGUCAUCACUACUGAAAUGCACCACUCACCACAUCACUGUGCUCACAUCCACUGCUGGGUCUCCAGAAACAUUCCAAAGUGUUGAUGACUGUUAAUGGGCGCCAUUCUUUUCUGCAUGGAGGAAUUCAAUGACACGCCUUUGCUAUAUACGCACUUCUGUUUCAGACACCAUGUGUCAUACAGCAACAAUACAUGAUGGGAUAUCAGUGGGAAGGUUCAACUUCUACUGCCAUCCCACCAACACCCUCCUCUGGUGUUGUGGGCCAACAUUAGAAACCAGGAGGCAUUACUUUCGGAGCAGCCCUGUACAAACUCAGCUUUCUGUUCAGUCUUUCACCCGCUGCAAACUUUACUUUGUCUGUUGAUAUUGCACAUACAAAUGAUCACUGCAGAGACCACAGACAAGUUAUCUUAUGGUAUACAGAGUUCGAGACAGAGAGGACCAAACUUGCGAGACAUUCCCUGUUCCAUGCACAGCACAGGGCAGCCACAGGGAUGGAGAUCACCACUCUGCACCCAGGAAUCAAAGCACAGAAAAUCUCAGGGGAGGCUGCAAGAUUGUGCAAAGGUCAGUAAUGCAACAGAAGAGGAUCAAGAUGAGCACUUCUUGAAAUGUAUUAGUUUUUGGAAAGCCUGUUUAAAUUCUUCAUUAAAAGCUGUAUAAAUGACGGGGUUGAUUAAUGAGUUUAAGUAACCUAACCACGUAAAGAAGUCCAACAGGAUGGGAUGAAACCAACAUGCGUCCUGGCAGAUGGGCAGGACGAGGGACAUGACGAAGAACGGCAGCCAGCAGAAAAUGAAAGCUCCUAGAAUGAUGCCUAAAGUUUUGGUGGCUUUCCUUUCUCUUGCAGCAGAAAUUCUUUUCCUUUCCAGAAUACUAUCUGCAAGUUUUAUUUGAACGUGGUUGAUGAAUAUCGGGGAUCCACCGGAAUGGGAAUGCCCUUCGUGAAGGCUUGCGUUAAUGGAGCAGAGGGAAGACCCAGCAGAGCCAGUUAUCAGGUGUGCAGUAGUGAAUCGUUUCCCAUACAGUGAGGGUGGCUUCAGGAUCCUGGAUCGAGCUGCUACAUAAAUCCUACCGUAUAAUAUUAGGAGGAGCACAGUUGGAAUGUAGAAAGCUCCACAGGUGGAAUAAAUUGUGUAGGAAAUCUGAUCUGUGUUCACAUUACACUUCGCGAUUUCUUCAUGAGCUUUCACUUGCCUCCAGAAAAAUGGUGGCACAGAAAUACUAAUGGAGAUCAUCCAAACCACAGCGAUCAUGAGCAUUGCUCGGCCAGCAGUCCGGCGUUUGGCAUAUUCCAAAGCAUCUGUGAUAGCCCAGUAUCUGUCCAGUGCAAUAACACAGAGGUGUAGGAUUGAGGCUGUGCAGCAUGUGAUGUCUGAUGAUAACCAGAUAUCACACAGCACUUGGCCAAAGGCCCACGUGUGGGUGACAGUGUAAGCGAUACUGAUGGGCAUCACAAGGACAGACACUAAAAGAUCUGUUACUGCCAAGGAGCCAAUGAGGUAAUUUGCAGGUGUGUGGAGCUUUCUAGUCAAAAAAAUUGUAAUAACAACAAAAACAUUUGCAAGGAUUGUUGCCAAAGUUAUGACAGACAGAAGGACCGACAGGGAUAUCUUCAGCCCUAACAGUGUCCUUUCAUCCACGGCCAGCGGUGGUUCAGUAAAAUUUAAUGACUUAUUUGCUGAGCUCUGGAAAGAUAGCUCUGCUGAGAGGUUAUACUGAGUCAUCCUCCGUCCUGAUUUCAGUUUUCAAUGUAAUCUUUCCAGGAUGAUGAAGAAAGCUGCUCACCUUUUUACUGAAUUACAACUUCUCAUACUAGACCCCAACGCUGAAGAAAAACCAAGUUGUUGAAAACAGCAGCUGCAUAAAUCAAUACUGGAAAGUGAGAGGCUGAAAUAGAAACAUGUGGACAUGUAACCUAUGCCCUGAUGUUUGGGACAAAGCUAUCCUCAAGAGUAUUUUCACUUCCACUCUAAUAUCUGAAUGUCACACUUCUGGUAUUUAUGAAGAUCUCUACUGGUAGAGUACCCAAAAGAUAACACAAUACUGCCUGGAUCCCUGAUGUAAACCUAAUUUCUGCCAGAUCUGUAGAUCAGGACCUGUUUCUGAACCGUGCAGAGCUCUGUUCUUGUUUAUUCCUCCAGACCAUUCUGGCUUUCUCUUCAACAAACAUCCAGUCUUCAAAUGCUGUAUUGGGAACCAGAACUCAGUGCAUUGGUGCUGAAGCUCACUGAAUGUGCCACGUACUGAGAUGCUCCCAGUCAUGCACACGGUGAAUGACUGCAAUGACAGGUGGUGCUUCCCUUGAAAGAGGAAGAGUAGGGCUGGCUAAAGGGAUCUGCAAAAAGAAAGUGAAUAUUUUAGUCCACAAUGGUGAUAGAGGAUUUGUGGAAGUUGAGCUGUGGCAGUAUACAAACAGACAUUCCAUAUAUUUCUUUAGAUUUACUUCAUGAAACUGAAAUCUUUACAAACCUGAAGAGAACAUCCUAGAACAAAUUUCAUUGAGAUCCUUCUGUCAGACCCACCCACGAGUACCAGAACAUCACUUACUUAUGGCAGCCCAUGCUUUCUUGAUAGAGAUCCCAAAUGUGGGUCAUGAACAGUUCUAAAGCACAUCCCCAGGGCUAACAACAGAGACACUGAACUUCACAAACAUAACCCCCAGGCCAGCUUCCUCCCAACCACGGAGCUGAAAUGCCUCUAACAGCAAUAACCUGCACAGCUUCACAGAAUUUGACAAAGAACUGAGACUCACGUGGUGGGGAAUCUGUAGAGCAAGAACAUCCAUCCCACAUGAAACACCAACGUGUCAAACAGCUUCUCUCGAGCUCCUAACACUGUGCACAGUGCUUUCUGGUUUUCUGUGAUUGGUUGUUUUGUUUUUGUAAACAUCCACCUUCUGUGAUUCAGAGCUACUUUCAGAGAUGCUGUUUCUUUAUAGGUGUAUUUUUUCAAUAAGGGACCAAGAAGAGUCACAUAUUUCAUAGUGAACUAUUACUCUCUUCAACCAACUGCUCUUCUUAAUGUCCAUUUUUGUGACUCUGAGCAAAGGUUCAAUGCAUGGGUGUCCAACCUGUUGGCUUGCUUGAGCUGCAUAUAGGUAGGCUGCUCCAAAAGUAAUGCCUCCUACUUAUUUCAGUGAAAAAUACAACAGCUACACUGAGCUCAGUAAGUCUAUUUGAUAAACCAAAUUCUCACCUACAGAACACUAUUUUUCAGUAUAUCCACCAUCAUUAGCUGAGCAUUUUCACCAGUGAUGAACAAGAGCUGCAUUCCAUGCUUAUAACAAUCUACACCAGCAGAGAUGACCCAAAGAUGAACAUGCAGCAUAGUGGUCUUUCCUGCUCUCAGUUUCUUUCCCCACAGUUCCUGAGAGCUAUUUUUUUCCAUCAUCAAACCACUGAUCUGACAUUUCCACUAAACAGUCCCAAUUAAUAUAAUUGCAAAGGCAUAAGUGGUAACAUCAGCAUUUUUUUUUCCUGUGUGCUCAUUUUUUGCAUCUCCCUGUACUGAACUCCCAUGUUUUACCUAACAUUCUUUGCAACUCUGCACAGUCAGUCCUUUCUUUUAAUACUUGAAAAGCUUUGUCUCACCUCAGUCCUCACACUUUCCAGAUCACUGGUAGUCUGAGCUUUCCUUAUUUACCUUCUUUAAGAAUCUCUGGCCAAGAACCUUAUCCAAAGUCUCUUGAGAAAUCCAAGUAAUUGUAUCAACUGGACAUCAACCAAUCCGUAUACUCCACGACUUCAUUCAGUGGUUUUGUGAGGCAAAACUUACCUUUACAAAAGCCAAUUUCACUGUUCCACAGAAGACAGUAUUUACUGUAUGUGCACUAAUUGUACUGUUCAUGAUAUUUUCUGCAAACCAGCCAAGUACAGACUUCAGGUUUAUGAAUACACAGUUACCCAUCAGGGCUCUUAGGAAACUACAUCACAACAGCUGUCUUACAGUUGGUGGGUGUAAAGGGAGUUUUAAGUAUUUUAAAUAGAGGUUAAACACCCUUCUUGAUCUCACUGUACCUUGGACAACCUGAGUUGCAUUGAGCUCUCUGGCUUACAGCUACCUGAUUGUGAAGAUCUGUUAUUCAUUUUGGCCAGAAAUAAAGGUUCCACUUGAAAACUUAUCCUGGAUUCUCUUCAUCAGACAGGGUUGCUAAAUGUCAACCUACUUUAUCUGUGAUAAUUUUCCUUUAUAUUCUUGAUUUCUUUUUCAUUUUCCUAUUACCAUCCCUUUGAUUCUCUGACUCAAUAGCUCAUUUCAGAGCUGUUGCUUUUACAGCCUAAGAAAUCUCUUUACCUGAGCACCAGGCUGAUCACACAUCC